This 408-nucleotide transfer-messenger RNA is filed under the name Candidatus Omnitrophota bacterium. RNAcentral describes it as "Candidatus Omnitrophica bacterium transfer-messenger RNA". It matches the Rfam family "transfer-messenger RNA". Rfam says of the family: Bacterial tmRNA, also known as 10Sa RNA or SsrA, is named for its dual tRNA and mRNA-like properties. Its role is to liberate the mRNA from a stalled ribosome. Lineage: Bacteria; Pseudomonadati; Candidatus Omnitrophota. The record is from RNAcentral.
GGGGGUGACUGGAUUCGACUCAAGCACACACUCAACAAGGAGCAUGUCGAGUUUGCGGAGAGCUCGUAAAAACUUCGUAAAAAAAAUAAACGCAAAUCAAGAAAGAUUUGUAACUGCUGAUUUAGGCACUGAAGUUGCGGUUAACCCAUUCGUGGGCGCGCCGUUCUUUAUGGGCUUGAAUUAAGCAGACUUUUAAUCCAGCCUGCCUGGGCGGGAUUAAGAGGUCGGUAAUCAGGCUUGUUGAGACCGAGUUCGCCCUUAUAGGACUCAAGACCUAAAAAGGGCUGCUGUUUGAGCAAUCCUGCUUGCGGGGUAGGCUCAAGCGAAGAAUAUAAACACAAGCUAAACAUGUAGUGCCUUUUGGGUCGUUGCUUUAGGACCGGGGUUCAAGUCCCCGCACCUCCACCA